GAUGAACGCUAGCGGCAGGCCUAAUACAUGCAAGUCGAACGGGAUCCAGAUCAAAGCUUGCUUUGGUUUGGUGAGAGUGGCGCACGGGUGCGUAACGCGUGGGCAACCUACCCUUGUCAGGGGGAUAGCCCGGCGAAAGUCGGAUUAAUACCGCAUGACAUCAUUGAGAGGCAUCUUUCGAUGAUCAAAGAUUUAUCGGACAAGGAUGGGCUCGCGUGACAUUAGCUAGUUGGUAAGGUAACGGCUUACCAAGGCUACGAUGUCUAGGGGCUCUGAGAGGAGAAUCCCCCACACUGGUACCGGGACACGUACCAGACUCCUACGGGAGGCAGCAGUAAGGAAUAUUGGUCAAGGGACGGAAGUCUGAACCAGCCAUGCCGCGUGCAGGAAGACGGCCCUAUGGGUUGUAAACUGCUUUUAUACGGGAACAAACGUCGGUACGUGUACCGGUCUGAGUGUACCGGAAGAAUAAGGAUCGGCUAACUCCGUG
RNAcentral lists this ribosomal RNA (490 nucleotides) under uncultured bacterium. Its description in RNAcentral is "partial 16S ribosomal RNA". It matches the Rfam family "Bacterial small subunit ribosomal RNA", at positions 28 to 507 of the family's 1533-position model. The record is from RNAcentral.